GAAUUGCAGUAAUAUUGAUGCAAUGAAAACCAGAAAAUGUCAUAUUCAUUCAUAGUUUGCUAUAAAAGGUUUCACAAUUGCAAUUGACACACCCAUCAAGCUGAUACAACAAUAAAACAAUCUUUAUAAUUAUGAAAAGUUUACUUUUAAAUUCAGGACAGGUUCGAAAAUUGCAUUUAACACUUUGGAUAUUCUGUAUUCCCACCCAUCCUAGUAACUUAUAAUAAUAACAGUAAUUCUCAUAUUUCUUGGAAUAUUGUUUAAAGGGCUAAGUAAAAGGUCGAGAAUUGCAUAUUUUUUUUUCCCAAUGAAUUCAUUCGCUUUGCUCGCUUUCACAACAUCUUCCUCAUGAAUGCCUUCGUAACGAUUAUUCCCCCUUUUCUCUUUCAUUGCUCACGAUCAGCAAUGCAAUAGAAAAUGGUACACACUUUCCAAUAAUACUGAAAGUAAUAUCUUGCCUAUGAAUGAUCAAUCAAAUCAAAUAACAAUAGAACAAUAAUAAACAACAAUAAUAAUAAGCAA
This 522-nucleotide long non-coding RNA is filed under the name Polistes fuscatus (common paper wasp). RNAcentral describes it as "uncharacterized LOC122513293". The record is from RNAcentral. Lineage: Eukaryota; Metazoa; Arthropoda; Insecta; Hymenoptera; Vespidae.